RNAcentral lists this ribosomal RNA (507 nucleotides) under uncultured bacterium. RNAcentral's name for it is "partial 16S ribosomal RNA". It matches the Rfam family "Bacterial small subunit ribosomal RNA", at positions 28 to 506 of the family's 1533-position model. The record is from RNAcentral.
GACGAACGCUGGCGGCGUGCCUAAUACAUGCAAGUCGAACGCUUCUUUCCUCCCGAGUGCUUGCACUCAAUUGGAAAGAGGAGUGGCGGACGGGUGAGUAACACGUGGGUAACCUACCCAUCAGAGGGGGAUAACACUUGGAAACAGGUGCUAAUACCGCAUAACAGUUUAUGCCGCAUGGCAUAAGAGCGAAAGGCGCUUUCGGGUGUCGCUGAUGGAUGGACCCGCGGUGCAUUAGCUAGUUGGUGAGGUAACGGCUCACCAAGGCCACGAUGCAUAGGCGACCGGGGAGGGUGAUCGGCCACACUGGGAGUGAGACACGGCCCAAACCCCGAGGGGAGGCAAGAGGAGGGAAUUUUCGGAAAUGGAAGAAAGUCUGACCGAGCAACGCCGGGUGAGUGAAGAAGGUUUUCGGAUCGUAAAACUCUGUUGUUAGAGAAAAACAAGGACGUUAGUAACUGAACGUCCCCUGACGGUAUCAAACCAGAAAGCCCCGGCUAACUACGG